Molecule: ribosomal RNA, 642 nt
Filed under: Zoogloea sp.
Lineage: Bacteria; Pseudomonadati; Pseudomonadota; Betaproteobacteria; Rhodocyclales; Zoogloeaceae
Description: bacterial SSU rRNA
Rfam family: Bacterial small subunit ribosomal RNA
Source: RNAcentral
CUCCUACGGGAGGCAGCAGUGGGGAAUUUUGGACAAUGGGCGCAAGCCUGAUCCAGCCAUGCCGCGUGAGUGAAGAAGGCCUUCGGGUUGUAAAGCUCUUUCAGUCGGGAAGAAAAGGCGGGCUCUAACAUAGCCUGUUGCUGACGGUACCGACAGAAGAAGCACCGGCUAACUACGUGCCAGCAGCCGCGGUAAUACGUAGGGUGCGAGCGUUAAUCGGAAUUACUGGGCGUAAAGCGUGCGCAGGCGGUUUGCUAAGACAGGUGUGAAAUCCCCGGGCUUAACCUGGGAACUGCGCUUGUGACUGGCAGGCUAGAGUACGGCAGAGGGGGGUGGAAUUCCACGUGUAGCAGUGAAAUGCGUAGAGAUGUGGAGGAACACCGAUGGCGAAGGCAGCCCCCUGGGGCCUGUACUGACGCUCAUGCACGAAAGCGUGGGGAGCAAACAGGAUUAGAUACCCUGGUAGUCCACGCCCUAAACGAUGUCAACUAGUCGUUCGGAGCGGUAACGCACUGAGUGACGCAGCUAACGCGUGAAGUUGACCGCCUGGGGAGUACGGCCGCAAGGUUAAAACUCAAAGGAAUUGACGGGGACCCGCACAAGCGGUGGAUGAUGUGGAUUAAUUCGAUGCAACGCGAAAAA